UUGUUUUUGUUUUUUGGACGCUUCUGCGGCAUGUGGAAAUUCUUGAGUCAGUGAUUCAACCGGAGCCACAGCUGUAACCGGAGCCCCAGCAGCGACAACACCAGAUUUAACCUGGUGAGCCGUGCGGAAAAUCCUGGCAGACCCUGGGUUUAACAAGGAUAGAUCCUGGGAGUUUCAAUGGCUUCUGUGUGCAAAUACAACAGCAAGCAACUUCCUCCAUCAAGUUUAAUUAGAAAGAGUAUGAACCAUACAAAUACGUUCCAGCAAAGUUGGCUGAAGCACUGAUCGUGCGAACUCAUUUGCUUCCAUUUGCGUUUGGAGAGGUGCCAAAAAGAAAAAAAAAGGAUUUGCAUAUCGUCCUAAAAAAAUUCCUUAGUAAAGCACAGUAAAAACCUUUCUCUGGUCUGCACAUUAACAGGCAUCCAGACACCUGGCCCAUUGGAUGACGGAUUCCUGGAAGCAGAAUUUGCUCCACUGUCCCCAAACCAGGACCCUCCCUCCCCAGCCUCCCUCCACCCUCACCCGAGGCGUGAGAACGUCUAGUCUCGCUGUGAGAUCCACGCUGCCGGGACUUACCUUGCCAUGGCCUUGGCCCUGACAUUCAGCGUCUCCAGCAGCACUUGGCUGCAGCUUUAUACUCCCAGUAGAUUCUGCUGCCCAACUAGCAUGUACACCUGUCGCCACGGCGUCCACAGGGUUCUGUUAAAGGAGUUGCAGGGCUUCCCCAGGCUCUUAAAUUCUAAAAUCUUGGUAGGUCAAGUUUGCCUGCCUUUCGGGACAGGAACAAUCUAUUCUUUGUAUCCGUGUCCUUGGCCCCUCC
Non-coding RNA from Sus scrofa (pig), 820 nucleotides. NCBI's taxonomy places the organism in Eukaryota, Metazoa, Chordata, Mammalia, Artiodactyla, Suidae. The record is from RefSeq and is a predicted model, not a curated record.